This 218-nucleotide long non-coding RNA is filed under the name Gossypium raimondii (Peruvian cotton). RNAcentral's name for it is "long non-coding RNA (GRAI_LNC010816)". Lineage: Eukaryota; Viridiplantae; Streptophyta; Magnoliopsida; Malvales; Malvaceae. The record is from RNAcentral.
GGGGAGAUGGGGCUGCUGCGUUUCUUGUCGAAAGAAGCUUUUGGUUUUCUAUUUUCUUUUAUUUUUUUGGUUAUGUUUUUCUAGGGUUUCUUGAGAAGACGAUGGGUUUUCUUUUGGCUGUUUUUUUGUUGGUUUUCUUAAGUGGUUUUAUUUGUUUUUUGCAAUUCUCCACCGUUGUUUUGUGUCGCUUGGUGAUAGAUGUAACUCAUGCAUAUAUG